AUUAGAUCUCAAAUCAGGUAGGACUACCCGCUGAACUUAAGCAUAUCAAUAAGCGGAGGAAAAGAAACUAACAAGGAUUCCCCUAGUAGCGGCGAGCGAAGCGGGAAGAGCUCAAAUUUAUAAUCUGGCACCUUCGGUGUCCGAGUUGUAAUCUCUAGAAAUGUUUUCCGCGUUGGACCGCACACAAGUCUGUUGGAAUACAGCGGCAUAGUGGUGAGACCCCCGUAUAUGGUGCGGACGCCCAGCGCUUUGUGAUACAUUUUCGAAGAGUCGAGUUGUUUGGGAAUGCAGCUCAAAUUGGGUGGUAAAUUCCAUCUAAAGCUAAAUAUUGGCGAGAGACCGAUAGCGAACAAGUACCGUGAGGGAAAGAUGAAAAGCACUUUGGAAAGAGAGUUAACAGUACGUGAAAUUGUUGGAAGGGAAACGCUUGAAGUCAGACUUGCUUGCCGAGCAAUCGGUUUGCAGGCCAGCAUCAGUUUUCCGGGAUGGAUAAUGGUAGAGAGAAGGUAGCAGUUUCGGCUGUGUUAUAGCUCUCUGCUGGAUACAUCUUGGGGGACUGAGGAACGCAGUGUGCCUUUUGGCGGGGGUUU
RNAcentral lists this ribosomal RNA (590 nucleotides) under Rhodotorula mucilaginosa. RNAcentral describes it as "partial large subunit ribosomal RNA". It matches the Rfam family "Eukaryotic large subunit ribosomal RNA", at positions 1 to 602 of the family's 3401-position model. The record is from RNAcentral. Lineage: Eukaryota; Fungi; Basidiomycota; Microbotryomycetes; Sporidiobolales; Sporidiobolaceae.